This 39-nucleotide ribosomal RNA is filed under the name Aphelenchoides bicaudatus. RNAcentral's name for it is "partial 26S ribosomal RNA". The record is from RNAcentral. Lineage: Eukaryota; Metazoa; Nematoda; Chromadorea; Rhabditida; Aphelenchoididae.
AUCCACCUGAGUCGGAUAUGAUCACCCGCUGAACUUAAG